RNAcentral lists this ribosomal RNA (445 nucleotides) under uncultured organism. Its description in RNAcentral is "partial 16S ribosomal RNA". It matches the Rfam family "Bacterial small subunit ribosomal RNA", at positions 335 to 797 of the family's 1533-position model. The record is from RNAcentral.
ACUCCUACGGGAGGCAGCAGUGGGGAAUAUUGGACAAUGGGCGCAAGCCUGAUCCAGCCAUGCCGCGUGAGUGAUGAAGGCCCUAGGGUUGUAAAGCUCUUUCACCGGUGAAGAUAAUGACGGUAACCGGAGAAGAAGCCCCGGCUAACUUCGUGCCAGCAGCCGCGGUAAUACGAAGGGGGCUAGCGUUGUUCGGAUUUACUGGGCGUAAAGCGCACGUAGGCGGACUAUUAAGUCAGGGGUGAAAUCCCGGGGCUCAACCCCGGAACUGCCUUUGAUACUGGUAGUCUUGAGUUCGAGAGAGGUGAGUGGAAUUCCGAGUGUAGAGGUGAAAUUCGUAGAUAUUCGGAGGAACACCAGUGGCGAAGGCGGCUCACUGGCUCGAUAUUGACGCUGAGGUGCGAAAGCGUGGGGAGCAAACAGGAUUAGAAACCCUGGUAGUCCC